RNAcentral lists this ribosomal RNA (484 nucleotides) under uncultured bacterium. RNAcentral describes it as "partial 16S ribosomal RNA". It matches the Rfam family "Bacterial small subunit ribosomal RNA", at positions 30 to 507 of the family's 1533-position model. The record is from RNAcentral.
AUUGAACGCUGGCGGCAGGCCUAACACAUGCAAGUCGAGCGGAUGAAGGGAGCUUGCUCCUGGAUUCAGCGGCGGACGGGUGAGUAAUGCCUAGGAAUCUGCCUGGUAGUGGGGGAUAACGUCCGGAAACGAGCGCUAAUACCGCAUACGUCCUGAGGGAGAAAGUGGGGGAUCUUCGGACCUCACGCUAUCAGAUGAGCCUAGGUCGGAUUAGCUAGUUGGUGGGGUAAAGGCCUACCAAGGCGACGAUCCGUAACUGGUCUGAGAGGAUGAUCAGUCACACUGGAACUGAGACACGGUCCAGACUCCUACGGGAGGCAGCAGUGGGGAAUAUUGGACAAUGGGCGAAAGCCUGAUCCAGCCAUGCCGCGUGUGUGAAGAAGGUCUUCGGAUUGUAAAGCACUUUAAGUUGGGAGGAAGGGCAGUAAGUUAAUACCUUGCUGUUUUGACGUUACCAACAGAAUAAGCAUCGGCUAACUUCGUG